Molecule: RNA transcript, 1417 nt
Organism: Oncorhynchus kisutch (coho salmon)
Lineage: Eukaryota; Metazoa; Chordata; Actinopteri; Salmoniformes; Salmonidae
Exons: 5
Source: RefSeq, a predicted model, not a curated record
AACAGUCUGUCUCUGUGAUUCACCUAAGAAACCUGCACUAACCUUACCACAAACUGGGAUUUCCUGAGGUGGUGGGGAUCUUAGAGAACCCUGUCACAUUCUUCAGGAUAGAAACAAGGAAAAUAAACAUUCAAAUGAUGGCAGACCAUGGUGACCCAUGCAACGAGUUAGAGGUUUCUUACUGCAUGAAUGGAGGAAAAUGCUUUAAAAUUUCAUUUAUGGAUACGCUUACUUGUCUCUGCAGUGAGAACUACAAAGGCAGUCGUUGUGAGCAGUACCAGCUGUUCACCACUGCACAUGAUGCAGGGGAGACAGGACUGGUCGCUGCUGUGGUCAUCAUUGUCCUUUUUAUUCUAGUCGUGUUGGUAGUAGUAAUCUACUACACCUGCAAGGUAUGGAAGGACAAAACAAAUAACCAGCAGAAAGGCAGUGAACAACAGUAUUGGAGAGUAGAGCCCAGAGUAUGAGGCCUGUUGUAUAUUGUUUUGGGGACAUCGGAUUGGAUAACAAAAUGUUUCAUGGACGGUGGUACGAUAUGGUGUGGGUCUGGAUGCUGCUGGAGAUGUGGCUAUGAAGGACCAGGAGGACAGAGGAGACUUAUACCCACAAACAUUCUGCAGCAAGCGUCAAACGUCAAGCUGUAGCCUGUUUGAGUGGCCAUCAAAAGCUGAAGCUACUGUAGACACAAAGACAGUCAGCCACAACACUUUUUCUCCAUACUGUGUGACUGGGUGUAGGACUGACUACAACCUGUUACAAUGGCUGCGUUUAGGCAGCCCAAUUCUAAUCGUUUUUUCACUAACUGGUCUUUUGACCAAUAAGAGAUCUGAAAAAGAUCUGUGAAAAAAUCUAAUUGUGAUUGGUCAAAAGACCAACUAGUGGAAAAAAAAUCUGAAUUUGGUUGCAUGUGUAAACGCAGCCAAUGUGUUUCAUUCCAAUGGCUAUUUUCAACUGACACACAAUACAUGCUUUUAAAGCUGGUGGAUGGAAUGGCAUGGAGUGAAACAUGAUGCCUCCACUCAAAGGAAUACUAUGACUGUAAAAUGUUUGCUUAGUCUAUGCUUUGAUUGACAGAAGUCAGUGAGUGUGUCGAAGUUCAAUUGUGAAUGUGCACUUUCUCUAAGCCUGUGAUACCAUAGAUUAGAGUAGAUUGGGGAAAUACUUUGAAUACUUCAUGUAGAAUUCACAUGCUUUUCUCAAUGUAUCAAUAAUGCAUCUAUUUGUUCAACUUGUAUACAAGUCAAACAUGAAGUGAGCAUUAGUUACAGUAAGCCUCUUGUAUUAUUGAAUGAAUGUUCAUGUGUAAUAUCACAAAUCACAAUAAUAAAUUGUACAUUACUUGUGAUUGCGUAUGAGGAAACAAGGUGUUGUCUUCAGUAAUCAAUGUCAAUAAAGACUAUUGAAGUGAUGUAAUUGA